UUCUUGGAUGAGUUGCGAACGGGUGAGUAACGCGUAGGUAACCUGCCUGGUAGCGGGGGAUAACUAUUGGAAACGAUAGCUAAUACCGCAUAAAAUGGAUUAUCGCAUGAUAAUCCAUUGAAAGGUGCAAAUGCAUCACUACCAGAUGGACCUGCGUUGUAUUAGCUAGUUGGUGGGGUAACGGCUCACCAAGGCGACGAUACACAGCCGACCUGAGAGGGUGAUCGGCCACACUGGGACUGAGACACGGCCCAGACUCCUACGGGAGGCAGCAGUAGGGAAUCUUCGGCAAUGGACGGAAGUCUGACCGAGCAACGCCGCGUGAGUGAAGAAGGUUUUCGGAUCGUAAAGCUCUGUUGUAAGAGAAGAACGAGUGUGAGAGUGGAAUGUUCACACUGUGACGGUAUCUUACCAGAAAGGGACGGCUAACUACGUGCCAGCAGCCGCGGUAAUACGUAGGUCCCGAGCGUUGUCCGGAUUUAUUGGGCGUAAAGCGAGCGCAGGCGGUUAGAUAAGUCUGAAGUUAAAGGCUGUGGCUUAACCAUAGUACGCUUUGGAAACUGUUUAACUUGAGUGCAAGAGGGGAGAGUGGAAUUCCAUGUGUAGCGGUGAAAUGCGUAGAUAUAUGGAGGAACACCGGUGGC
Molecule: ribosomal RNA, 644 nt
Filed under: uncultured Bacilli bacterium
Lineage: Bacteria; Bacillati; Bacillota; Bacilli
Description: bacterial SSU rRNA
Rfam family: Bacterial small subunit ribosomal RNA
Source: RNAcentral